CCUACGGGGUGCUGCAGUGGGGAAUAUUGGGCAAUGGGCGCAAGCCUGACCCAGCAACGCCGCGUGAAGGAAGAAGGCUUUCGGGUUGUAAACUUCUUUUAAGGGGGAAGAACAAAUGACGGUACCCCUUGAAUAAGCCACGGCUAACUACGUGCCAGCAGCCGCGGUACUACGUAGGUGGCAAGCGUUAUCCGGAUUUACUGGGUGUAAAGGGCGUGUAGGCGGGAGCGCAAGUCCGAUGUGAACACCCAGGGCUCAACCCGGAGCCUGCAUUUGAAACUGUGUUUCUUGAGUGCUGGAGAGGCAAUCGGAAUUCCGUGUGUAGCGGUGAAAUGCGUAGAUAUACGGAGGAACACCAGUGGCGAAGGCGGAUUGCUGGACAGUAACUGACGCUGAGGCGCGAAAGCGUGGGGAGCAAACAGGAUUAGAUACCCUUGUAGUC
This 442-nucleotide ribosomal RNA is filed under the name uncultured bacterium. RNAcentral's name for it is "partial 16S ribosomal RNA". It matches the Rfam family "Bacterial small subunit ribosomal RNA", at positions 338 to 795 of the family's 1533-position model. The record is from RNAcentral.